ACGUAGGGUGCGAGCGUUAAUCGGAAUUACUGGGCGUAAAGCGUGCGCAGGCGGUUCGCUAAGACAGGUGUGAAAUCCCCGGGCUUAACCUGGGAAUGGCGCUUGUGACUGGCGAGCUAGAGUACGGCAGAGGGGGGUGGAAUUUCACGUGUAGCGGUGAAAUGCGUAGAGAUGUGAAGGAACACCGGUGGCGAAGGCAGCCCCCUGGGCCGACACUGACACUCA
Molecule: ribosomal RNA, 225 nt
Filed under: uncultured prokaryote
Description: partial 16S ribosomal RNA
Rfam family: Bacterial small subunit ribosomal RNA
Source: RNAcentral